Mercurialis annua (annual mercury) is the source of this 461-nucleotide long non-coding RNA. RefSeq lists it as uncharacterized. The transcript is spliced from 2 exons. The record is from RefSeq and is a predicted model, not a curated record. Lineage: Eukaryota; Viridiplantae; Streptophyta; Magnoliopsida; Malpighiales; Euphorbiaceae.
UUUGCUGAACAAGAAGAAAGAAUCAAUAAUGCAGCUACUACAAUCUCAAUCAAUGUCUCGUCUUCGCAUUGGAGAAGCUCUAACAAGACCGGCUGAGGAGAGCAAAGAGAGCGGCUUCAAUGGCUCGAUAAUCUUGCGACUGAAGCAUCAAAACCAAAGGCGAAAUGAUUCCUUUUUCGACCAACUUAUGCCGUUGCUUGGGGCUGAAUUUAGCAAGUUGAUUAGCAGCCUGAAUCUGUGCUUCUGUGCCUCCAUUGAAAAGAUGAUGCACCACAAUUUCCUCCAUGCCGCUCUCUUUCUCUUUAAUUUGAUAUAACAAUAAGAUAUGUUAUUGUUAAGAAGUAGUAGAAAUAGUAGUGAAGCUGAUAUGGAUGGUUGCUUGAGGUUGAGGAUUUUGUGUUAAAAAUCUUUUUUGGGGUAACCAUUGUUUCAGAUUGAAGCAACUUCCUAUUCUCUUUUCA